This is a non-coding RNA of Monodelphis domestica (gray short-tailed opossum), 2114 nucleotides long. The record is from RefSeq and is a predicted model, not a curated record. Lineage: Eukaryota; Metazoa; Chordata; Mammalia; Didelphimorphia; Didelphidae.
UUAUCUCUAAUCAACCCACAUAUCUGUAUUUUAUCGUAGUCUCCAUUGUCCUGUCCUUGAAGUGUCAUGAGUGUAGUGGAAUUGGUGACUGUCUACGACCCCAAGUUUGCAACAACUUAACACGUUAUUGCCUAAACAAGUGGCCUUUUACCCCUGAUGGGAAGACUUGGGUCAUCAAAUCUUGUGCUUACACCUGUCCACCUGCUCUAGAAGAAUAUGGUAACGCUCCAGCUAUGUGUUGUCGGACAGAUCUCUGUAACAGCGCAUUGACCAGCAGCCUUAAUGGACUUCUUCUCAUCACUUGCCUGUGGGCUGGGGUAUCUUGGGUCAUGUCUUGGGUCCUAUCUUGAACUGGUCUGUAGCAGGCUGUUUCCACCUUUGGAUAAAGCAAGAUCCACUCUUUACCCUUUAGGGCAGCAGGUUGAGGAAACAAUGAGGUAUAGUAGACCAGCAACCCAGGAAGAGAUGCAGUUCCAACAACAAUGAUAGAUUUUUAAAAAUUUUUAUUUUUUUACAAAGAGAUAUUUUCUUCAAAGAUAGAACAAGAACAGAAGUCUACACAUUUAUCUCCAACACUUGAGAACACACUCUAUACCACCCUGGUACUCAGAGAGAGUAAACUUAGAUUCAACACAGUUUCUAUAUAAUGUUGGUCCAGUAAAGUUCAUGCUCCUGGAUGGGUUCAAGAUCCUGCUGAGCUUGGUUAUUCCUUGGUCCUCCAUGCUGGAUUGGCUGGUUGCAAAACUCUGCAUGGACUCUACCUCUAGAUCUGUUGACUUGUUCUGAACUUUCUUACAAAGCUCACAAUAUGAUAUCCAUAUUUAAUUUCCUUCCCUAAAAGUAGGAAAGAAUGAGCACAAAAGAGGCGGAAAUGACUUUGGAGCUCUAUGCUGCCAUUAUCAUCAUGACAGAGCUGGUUGAAGGCUUUUCCUUUCCUGGGAAGCCCUCAGCAGCUUGUCCUCCUUUUGCAUUGCUAAUGGGCCUGCAAGUGUGACAGCAGUCAAAAUUAUGAAGCACAAGCCAAGAAGUUGUUGGAUGAUUGGAGAACAGUCAGUACGUCUGGAAAGAGCCCCCACCAAGAGCUGUUCUUUCCUAAGAAGACCAAAUGGCAAUUUCAAUGCAUGGAUUACAAGCUAAUAAACUUGAGGGAAGAAUUGCAUGUCUCCCAAUCAAGAUAACAGUGUUACUUUUUUAAUGCUCUUUGUGAGAAUCAAAUGUAUUAUUUUGAAAUUUGUACUUCUGUUUCUUGUAAAAACAACUCUUCUAUGGGGGAUUAUAAAAUUUUAGAGUUGCAAGAGGCCUUAGAGAACCAUAAUAGUCAACAAAUUUACAUUGUGUUAAAAGGUUUACAAUGUAUUAUAUUAAGAGAUGGCCUUGAAGGAAGAAGUCCUGGGGUCCCAUUCUGACUUUGAUACACACUUGCUGUGUGGCCCUAGACAUGUUACUUUCACUGCUCUUGGGAUCUCCCUAAGAUUCUAAAUUGUAGCAAAGGCUCUAUUCUUGCAUUGGUAGAGUCAAGAAAUUCCAGAUUCUAAUGAAAUUACAGACAAUAGCCCUUAUCUCCUUCCUAAAAUGCUGGUGGGCUGGAGAGGAGCCUGGAGAUUAUGUAGUACAGACAAUCUUUGGUCACUCCUAUUGUCUCUAGGAUCAAAUGCCAGUUCUUCUGUUUGGCAUUUAAAGUCCUUCAUAAUCUGGCUCAUCUCUAUGUCCAUGCUGAGUAUACAUCACUCUACUUUGUGUACAUGAUCUAGCCAAAGUGUCCUAUUCUAUAUCUCUAAGCAUGGCAUUAUUUCCCCAAUCUCCCUGUAUUUGUACUCCAUGCCUGGAAUGCCCUCUCUUACUUCUGGGUCUUGGAACCCAAGCUCCUUUCAAGCGUCACCUCAAGUACUCCCUCCUUCUAGAGCCUUUCCCUAACUCAUCUAGUGGUUUAUGCUGCCUUUCCCAUCACUACAUUAUGCAUUUAUUUAUCUUUGAUCACAUUGUAUUUUUCCCUAAAGAAGAAUAUCAGCUCCUUGAAGGCAGACAAGAACUGAUGGCUGCUUCUGUGUGUUCCUGUGUUUAAUAACGUGCCUGGCAAAUCAUUGGUACUAAAUAAAUACUUUUUAAUGGAUUAA